GCUGCGCACUUCGGUCUUUUACGUCGGCCUUCGCGAGCGUCUGGGCGGGUGGUAGGUGAGUGGGUAUUGCGGGCUAGUAUCCGAGCAAAAGAUGGUGGCGCAGGCCGAGUUAAGAGCUUUAAUCCUGUGAAGACAUCUUAGUGAAGAGUUUAGAGUGCUGAGAGUUGAAAGCUUGCACGUGGGAAACGUGCGGCCGGACUGCCACAUGUACUGAGGUUGAGUCGUGACGGCCACAGGCUCCGAGUUUUGGCGUGAGGAACCGCUGAUCGGCCACGGGCGCCGAACUUGCUGGCCUCCGGCAUGUGCCUGAGCGGCGGCGGAAAAACCACCUUAAUUGGGGCGGAGGGUUAGUUUUAACAGCAAAGGGCCUUUACUAAAAUGGCGAAGGCCUUCCGUCGGCGUUGUUUUAAAAUGGGAAGCCUCGACCCUGUAUUGAAACUGAGCUGUUCGAAGGCGGCGUUGUGUGCAAUUCGGAUUAAUGAAGGGGAAGGGUUUUGUGUGGAAAAACGCCUUGGAGUGUGACAUUUCUGCGAGAAUGCUUAAAUACCGAUUUCCCGCAGGAACAAUGGCGCUGUCUUCAGUGGCACAGUGGAGCAGCUCUGAAGAUGCAAAGGUAAGAGCUUAGUUAAGCUUAGUUUCCAAACUAAAGGAGUAAACCUGUUGAUUUACAGGAAUAGGAACUGUUGCAUCGUUUGAAAUUUACUUUUUUUUGUUAGAUACACGAAAAAACUUCCAGAACAUCUGGGAGAAUAUUUAAUGGAAAAUCGCUUGGUUAAAACCUGACACUUUUAACAGGUAUGUGUUGUUUUAGUACUUUAUGAUUGAGCAUAGCAUUUAAUCCACACCUAGACUAAAUCAAAUUUUUUUUGUCAGUGAACAGCGUUCUGAGUGUGGACGAGUAGCCAGUGAAGAUAAUGAAUGUCGAAUGUGACUGACUAGCAGCUUCAUUUUGAAUGAGGGUCGCUGUCUGCCCAUUGAUAGAGGCCAGAUUGUCUUGGAAGUUCCAAAGUUGCAACGAUUUCUGGCUAGUGCCACGAGGUUUACUUGACUGUUGUGUGAAAAGCUGAUAAGAAAACCAUCCAGAAAAAAGCUCUUCGUUUUACAAACAUGAAAAUAAAACAUGUAAUUUUGGAUUAUGUUCCUUUUUGUUAUUACUUUUAAAUAGGUCCUGAAAUAACAUGGGGAGCAUUAAAUGGAAAAUCCACUAA
Molecule: long non-coding RNA, 1208 nt
Filed under: Homo sapiens (human)
Lineage: Eukaryota; Metazoa; Chordata; Mammalia; Primates; Hominidae
Description: HSALNT0335455
Source: RNAcentral